GGCUGUGAUGAAGGUUGAUAAGUGCUU
This 27-nucleotide non-coding RNA is filed under the name Mus musculus (house mouse). The record is from RNAcentral. Lineage: Eukaryota; Metazoa; Chordata; Mammalia; Rodentia; Muridae.